CUGAAGUGAAGUGGGAUCUCAUAGUCGACAAGAGGCAGGACUGAUUUCUGUGGUGACCAGUGACAGGACCCGAGAGAAUGGCCUGGAGAUUAGUCGGGAAGGUUUAUGUUGGAUAUCAGGAAACGGUUCAUCGCCCAGAGGUGGCUGGGCACUGGAACGGGCUCCCCAGGGAAGUGGUCACAGCACCAGCCUGAGAGAGUUAAAAAGCUUUAGGACAGCGCUUUCAGGCACAUGGUGUGCUUCUUAGGAUUGUCGUUUGCAGAGCCAGGAGUGGGACUCGAUGGUCCUUGUGGGUCCCUUCCAACUCGGCUUCAUGUUUCCCCCAGAUGGGAAAAUGCAGGGACAAUGACUGAAGAGCUGCAUGGAAGAGAAGGUGACCACAGAGAUGGUCCUGUCAUAACUCAGUCACUCUCUAAAGAGUCAAAGCAGAAGAAAGACACUGAGCUGAGCACAAAAAUAGUCUGGAUGGAGAAAGCUUCAAACUGUCUGAGACCUGCAACUAAAAUAUGCCAAAAGUUACUGCUGCUUCAAGUAGCAUUAAUUCCUGCUUAGUGCCCAGCAGGAAUGAUGUAUAUUUAGUGAGUGACUUCAACUUUGGCACUGAAAAUGUGGAUAUUCCACCACCUUACCAGGACCCAAAUCUCAUCCACUACUGUAGUAUUGAUUUCAGACACUGGCUUGAAUGAAACCUUUUCCCACAAUUUUCAAAUUCAGUUCUCAACAGCAAAAUGGUGAGAGGAUCAGAAAUAACACAGGAACAGGUGACCACUGAGAUGUGAAUAAAACAGAGCAAAAUAAUGUUCUUUAUUGCCUUUCAUUACACCAGGACAUCUACUGUAGUGUGGAAAACUAAAUGAAAGACCUGGCAAAUAUGAAAGAGUAAAGUACCUCCAGCUGCGUGCAGUAAGGAUUCAAUAGCAUUAAGGAAUCCUGAGGUCAUUACAAACUACAGGUACAGGGCUCCAUGGAUUGUUUACUUUCAUGAGGGACACUGGAAAAAAAUGACAUGUACUCUGAAUGUAAGUAGACUUGGUAAAUAGUUAGAUUCAAGAUUCUGAUUUUGCUGUAGGAAUCAUUAGGAAGUACAAUCUUAGUUGAAAGUUAAGUAACUUAUAAUUUGUCCUAAUACUUUAAACCUGCAAACAAAUGAGAGGUUUUUUUGUUAAUAGCAAGCCAUACCUUUUGGGAAUACUCUUAUCAUGUAUGUGCAAAAAACCUCCCUAAAAUGUUUAAAUACAUUUAACGGGCCAGAAUUUAUCUCAAGGUCAGUUGUACUGCAAUUUAGUAGUUAGGUUUGUGUUUUCACUUUUUCUGGGCAACUGAAUUUUUUUAUUGUUUCAAUGCCAUUACAAAGAACUGCCCUAAGAAUAUCCAUGUUAGAACUUUAUAUGAAAGCAGUAAAUAAAAGCAACAUUUGUCACUGUUUAGCCUGGACGUCUGGGAGAAGUAUAAUAAAAUCACAGUACAGCUUUGUUGUUGCAGAAAUUUCUUGCAUAUCCACAAGGCCUCUAAAAUGGUAUCAGAAAAUCUAUUCCAGAGAAGAGAGAAUUACCUCUUAAACAUGUGGGUUGCUGGUGGUCUGAAGAAGCUUAUAAGGGCAGUUGCUCUGUCCCUGAGUAUGUCUCUGAUGGCCUAAAAAAACCAGGAGGGGUGUAAACUGGUCCCACUACAUUAAAGAUCUCUCUACUGUCUCUUAAUAACCAUAGCUAAAAAUAGCUAGUUCUGGUUGUUUCCUACAGCUUUGAUAUCUCAUCUUUCUUUUGAUGCCCCCAGUCUCUUCAGCCAUACAGUCAACCUCUUCCCACAUCUGAAGAGUUUCAAAAGGAAACUAGCAAGCCACCAUAGCACUGAGAUAGAACCACAAUGAAACCUGGGGCAAUGGCAACUCUGUGAAUUUCACCCCUUGUUUUCUUUUGCUGCAGCAUUUUUUGACUGUUGUGGCUUUUAGUAGUGGUUUCAAACUUACUUUUAAAAAAAAAGUUUCAUUUUUUUUUUCUUCCUUUUUUUUUGUAGCUUGAAUUUCAAUUAGUAUCUUGGCAGAGGAGGUAAGGCUUGAAUAAUUUUCAUGCAUCAGCUCUGACAACAUCUUUUUUGCUAUUCAUUUUUUGGGAAACAUUAACAUUCUUAGAAAAGACUAUCAGAGAGUAAUAAUGAAAACCAUGUAGUAUGUUGGAAGUAUCUGUAAUGAAUAUGCAAUAUCUUGGUAUUCCUUUUAUCUGAAAAUAUUUAUUUGUUAUGAAAGCAUGCUAAAGAGUAAAAUAACCAUUUAAAUCUUCAUUAUUCCUAUCAUAGUUGUAUCUGAGCUAUGAAAUAAAACAUAAAAUUAUGUUUUAUGCACCUCUACAUUUGAGCUGGGAAGCUUCCUGAGCUGUUGGUAAGCUGUAGAUCUGAGGAGCAGAGGGUCUAAAUGGUUUGUCCAGGAGCAAAGAGAAAGCCAGGGACAAAGGCUUCUUCUACUCACUAGAAGUAGUCUUCGGGGACUCUCUGGAUACAGUUUUAUACCCAGCUUUAGAUAACCCCUGGAGAUGGGGCAGGAUGGCAGAAAGCCUGCAACAAGACACCUGGUGAUCUGCCAUUGAUCUUCAGAGGGCCACCAGAGACCAGAAGUGGGGGUAGAGUUGGGAAAGGCAAUUAACCUAAGUGGUCACAGAUGUUCUCACUCCACAUCUGCCCUCUGCAGACUUCAGUGGUGUGGUUUCUGUGGAAACAAACUCUGUGCUAAAUGGAGCUGCUAUCCCUGUCAGGAUGUAAUUUUUCCAAAGAUGUAUUCUGCAGUAGCACAGCAAGAACUCAUUGAUGCAGAAUGGUGCAGAGCUAUCCUGCAGCAGUAUUGCAUAUUCUGAUCCAAGGAAGAACAGCUUUUGAUCCAGGGACAAAUGCAGGAUUUGUUAUGAGUUGAUCCAAUGAUUCUGUAAAAGGAAGGUCUUUAACUGUGGCAAAGACUCUAUGUAAUCCUCAGGGAGCAUGGGGUCAGUCUGAAGUCUUUCCUUUGCCCAUUUUAAGGUGACCAAGAAGAGAAAUAUUUGAGCUAAACCCCUGACUGCAGCAUUUAGCAUGUCUGUGUAUGCAUCUCUGUCAGUUGUUGCUGAGUAAGAACUGGAUGCAUCUCCUGCUCCUGUGUCAUGACUGCUGACAUGAACAAGUGGGAGGAAGAUCAAGCUCUGGCAAGGACAGACUUCAGGAGCUGCUUCAUUCUUCUUUCACACGCAUGGGAGUGUUGCCGUGUGCUUUCCUGUCUAAUCAGUCUCAACACAGCCUUGCACAACUCAGCCUGCUUUAAGCUUUUAACCAGGGUGUAGGAGUUCAGGAAAAAAAACCCACCUCCCUUCUCCCAAGAAAAAUGUAAUUGCAAAGAUUUGUUUCGAUGUAGCAUGUGCAAUAAACUUGAAUCACUGAA
Molecule: long non-coding RNA, 3397 nt
Organism: Motacilla alba alba
Lineage: Eukaryota; Metazoa; Chordata; Aves; Passeriformes; Motacillidae
Exons: 3
Source: RefSeq, a predicted model, not a curated record